Molecule: small nuclear RNA, 100 nt
Organism: Loxodonta africana (African savanna elephant)
Lineage: Eukaryota; Metazoa; Chordata; Mammalia; Proboscidea; Elephantidae
Source: Ensembl
UUGCUUCGGCAGCACGUAUAAAAUUGGAAUAAUACAGAAAAGAUUAGCAUGACCCCUGCACAAGGAUGACACACAAAUUCGUGAAGCAUUCCAUAUUUUU